GCUGGGCUUAAACCACACACGUGGUGACGCAGGCCUGUAGUCCCAACUACUCAGGAGGCUGAGCCCGCUGGAUCGCUUGAGCCCAGGAGUUCUGGGCAGCAGUGUGCUAUGCUGAGCAGGCAUCUGCACUAAGGAAGGCAUAUAUAUGGUGAGCCCCAGGGAGCUGGGAUACACCAAGUUGACUAAGGAGGGGAGAAACGGCCCAGGUCGGAGAUGGAGCAGGACAGAGCUCCCAGGCUGAUCAGUAAGGGGAUCGCACCUGUGAAUAGCCACUGCAGCACAGCCUGGACAACACUGAGAGACACAAGUUCCU
This 313-nucleotide signal recognition particle RNA is filed under the name Amazona collaria (yellow-billed parrot). RNAcentral's name for it is "Metazoan signal recognition particle RNA (ENSACOG00000014240.1)". It matches the Rfam family "Metazoan signal recognition particle RNA". Rfam says of the family: The signal recognition particle (SRP) is a universally conserved ribonucleoprotein. It is involved in the co-translational targeting of proteins to membranes. The record is from Rfam by way of RNAcentral. Lineage: Eukaryota; Metazoa; Chordata; Aves; Psittaciformes; Psittacidae.